Molecule: transfer RNA, 76 nt
Filed under: Cordylochernes scorpioides
Lineage: Eukaryota; Metazoa; Arthropoda; Arachnida; Pseudoscorpiones; Chernetidae
Description: tRNA-Thr
Source: RNAcentral
AGUGUCAAGGGAUGGGAAUCGAACCCACGACCUUCAGCUUACCGGGCAGAUGCCAUGACCACUAGGCCACAUGACC